GGAUAACCUUCCGAAAGGAGGGCUAAUACAGCAUGGGACCACGUCUUCGAAAGAGGAUGAGGUAAAAGCGGGCCUCUAUACAUAAGCUCGCGCCACGAGAUGAGCCUGCGGCCCAUCAUGGUAGUUGGUAGGGUAACGGCCUACCAAGCCGAAGACGGGUAGCUGGUCUGAGAGGAUGGUCAGCCACAUUAGAUCUGGAACACGUCUAACUAUCGAAGUGGUAGCAGCAGUGGGGAAUCUUGGACAAUGUGUUAACACACGAUCCAGCAAUAUCUUAGAGACUAUGAAGGCUUGAAAGAGCUGAAAGGUUUAGAAUAAUAAAAGAACAAGGUAUUUUCUUGACUUACUUUUAUUAUGUAAGCUCCGACUAAUUUCGUGCCAGCAGUCGCGGUAAGACGAGAGGAGCAAGUGUUAUUCGUGCUGAUUGGGCGUAAAGGUAUGUAGACGGUUAAAUAAGUUUAAAGUUAAAAACAAUGAGCUUAACUCUUGAGAAGCUUUUUAAUACUAUUUAAC
Molecule: ribosomal RNA, 513 nt
Filed under: uncultured bacterium
Lineage: Bacteria
Description: bacterial SSU rRNA
Rfam family: Bacterial small subunit ribosomal RNA
Source: RNAcentral